GUUCUCUUUUAUGGUUUAUCCUAUUUUUAAUGGAAUGUUAUAUUUGAAUGUAGGUUCAACAAAAUAAUAUUCGACCUGGUUAAACUAGUUUGCAUUUGACUUAGAUUCAACGUCAACAACUAUGAAUUGACUAAUAAACGUUUUUGUGUUUAACAAGCCAGUAGACAAACCAUUUUGCAAUUAGGAAGUAGAGCCUUAUGUAAAGUGGAAACUUAUUAAACUAUUUCAUAGAAAUAUUCUCGGAUCCAGCUCAAGAUAAAAGUUAGACUUAAAAACAAGCUCACAAUAUAUUCCUAAUCACAUAAUAUUAUUACUUAUAUCGAUUAUACAAUAAAUUCGCAAUGAAGAUGAUUUGAAUUAGUCUAUUAGAUCCAAGCUUUCUCUUUCAAAUCAUAUUAUAGAACAUAUUCUACAUAUGUAUAGAAGUGAGAUGAAACUUCAGCGAAAUCUAUCCUUGAUGCGUACAAAAAUAUGAGGCACACCAAAAAUUUUCUAUUAUAAAAUGAUAUAUAUUUUAUUUGUAGUGAUUGUAGAAAUUUCAUUUUCUUGGUUACAAGGUUUAGACCAGCUGAACCAAACCAAAGGCAUGACUCAGUUAGGGUUUACGACUUCCCUGUAAAAUCUUCGCUUCACUUCAAAUCAGUGUUUAUAAUUUUUCCUUUGAAAGAUAAGUAAUUAUGAGUUGAAAUUGGGUUUUUGAGUUCUUUGUAGAAAAGGUUUCAGGGUUUAUAUUAUUUUUCUUCUUGACAUUCAUCAGACUGGAGAACACAGGCUCGUGUUAUCCACAACAAGGGUGUCAGUGUGAAACGUAAGAAAUGUAAGCGAGAGAGGUUGAUGAUUAGUGAAAGGUCAAGGCUCAAGGUUUACAUGGAACAUGAGAAGCUGGACUUGCUUUGUUGAUGAAUGAUGGGUAUGGCAAGGAUGGGAAAUAGAUUUAUGUUCCUUUUAAUGGUAAAACUUGCCAGUUGUCACCAGUGAUGGUUACUCUCCUCUUUAUUCAUAAAUCUACAUCCAAGAUUCAGGCUCCUAAUGUUAAUAACUUUUGCUUUAAAUUUUGGCUUUAGAAUUUUGACCGUAGAAAUUGAAGUAAAAAAAAAAAAAAAAAAGUUAACAACAUUUUUUUAAUGGAAAAAGGACUUUAAAGUCUUAAAAAGUGUCUGGUAGAAAAAAUGUACAAAAAAUAAUUUUUUUAAGGGAAUUUGGGGUGGAUGACCCCAAAAACAAAUUUAAUUAGGUAUAUGGAUAUGUCACUGUUGAUUUUUCAUAAUGCCAGUAGUAACCCUAUUCUAUCUUGUAGAUAUGCACAAACACAAAUCUGAUACUUUUGUCUUUAGCUUUCGUGCAUGCUUCUAAAUUAAUUAUAGAUUUUUUUUUUGAAACAGAAUCGAACUCUUUGUCUCUUUAGCUAUCUCUCUUUCUGUAUCUUUCUCUUUCUCUCUUCUUCCUGAUGUGAUCAUUCAUCUUCUCUAAAAAAAGGAACUGUUUCUUUAUUGACGAAAGUUCUGAUGAAAUCAUGUGACAUAUCCUUUGAUUCAUCUCUCUAUAAAUGUGAAGAAUACAAGUAUUCACUUGCAUAUGCUCUGCCGUCGUGUUCCGUAAGCCUCUGAUCUACUCCCCCGCUGUAUUCCCGUAAGCCUCCGCCUUCGCCUCUGCUGUCAUCAUUGUAAUCCUCAGCUCCACGGCCGUGCUCCUGAAACCUCGUCUUCAUUCUUCUUCUCAUUUUAUAUCUAUUCAAUGUUCGAUUUGCUUCAGCACUGUGUUUGGUAAGGAAGAAAUGCGCUUUACUGUCUUUUUUUUGUGGUUGCUUUGCUCUAUCUUCUUGUUUUUUUUUGUUUGUUUGAUGUGAGAAAUGAAAAAUUUGUUAUGAAUCUGAAGAACGUUAUCUAUUUUUUUAUUUUCGUGGCUAUUA
Molecule: long non-coding RNA, 1909 nt
Organism: Brassica napus (rape)
Lineage: Eukaryota; Viridiplantae; Streptophyta; Magnoliopsida; Brassicales; Brassicaceae
Exons: 2
Source: RefSeq, a predicted model, not a curated record